GAUCAUUAUUGAAAUAAACCUGAUAGGUUGCUGCUGGCUCUUUCGGGAGCAUGUGCACACUUGUCAUCUUUAUAUCUCCACCUGUGCACCUUUUGUAAAUCUGAAUAUCUCUCUGAAUGCCUGCCAUUCAGGUUUGAGGAUUGAUCUUUUUCUYUCCUUACAUUUUCAGGUUUAUGUUUUUYAUAUACCCCAUGUAUGUUAUAGAAUGUAAUAAACGGGUCUUUGUGCCCAUAAAUUUAUACAACUUUCAGCAACGGAUCUCUUGGCUCUCGCAUCGAUGAAGAACGCAGCGAAAUGCGAUAAGUAAUGUGAAUUGCAGAAUUCAGUGAAUCAUCGAAUCUUUGAACGCACCUUGCGCUCCUUGGUAUUCCGAGGAGCAUGCCUGUUUGAGUGUCAUUAAUAUAUCAACCUCUUCAGCUUUUUGCAUGUUGAGUGUUGGAUGUGGGGGUAUUUUUGCUGGACUCUAAUUCGAGGUCAGCUCCCCUAAAAUGCAUUAGCGAAACAAUUUGUUUACUGCUCAUUGGUGUGAUAACUAUCUACGCUAUUGACGGUGAAGCAGGUUUAGCUUCUAACAGUCCAUUAACUUGGACAAACUUUUAUUAAUGUGACCUCAAAUCAGGUAGG
RNAcentral lists this ribosomal RNA (624 nucleotides) under uncultured Cortinarius. RNAcentral's name for it is "eukaryotic LSU rRNA". The stretch from base 243 to 396 matches the Rfam family "5.8S ribosomal RNA". The record is from RNAcentral. Lineage: Eukaryota; Fungi; Basidiomycota; Agaricomycetes; Agaricales; Cortinariaceae.